RNAcentral lists this ribosomal RNA (378 nucleotides) under uncultured organism. RNAcentral describes it as "partial 16S ribosomal RNA". It matches the Rfam family "Bacterial small subunit ribosomal RNA", at positions 524 to 896 of the family's 1533-position model. The record is from RNAcentral.
GGGGGGGGGGGCAAGCGUUGUUCGGAAUUACUGGGCGUAAAGGGCGCGCAGGCGGGGGGCGGGAAAGUCUCUCGUGAAAUCCCACGGGCUCAACCGUGGAAUUGCGGGAGAUACUACUCGUCUUGAGUUCGGGAGAGGAGUGUGGAAUUCCCAGUGUAGCGGUGAAAUGCGUAGAUAUUGGGAGGAACACCGGUGGCGAAGGCGGCACUCUGGACCGAUACUGACGCUGAGGCGCGAAAGCUAGGGGAGCAAACGGGAUUAGAUACCCCGGUAGUCCUAGCUGUAAACGCUGAGCACUUGGUGUAGCGGGUAUCGACCCCUGCUGUGCCGAAGCUAACGCAUUAAGUGCUCCGCCUGGGGAGUACGGUCGCAAGGCUG